Molecule: ribosomal RNA, 292 nt
Filed under: uncultured eukaryote
Lineage: Eukaryota
Description: partial 18S ribosomal RNA
Rfam family: Eukaryotic small subunit ribosomal RNA
Source: RNAcentral
GGUUGAUCCUGCCAGUAGUCAUAUGCUUGUUUUAAAGAUUAAGCCAUGCAAGUCUAAGUAUAAGCUUUUAUACAGCGAAACUGCGAAUAGCUCAUUAAAACAGUUAUAAUUUACACGGUGACAUUAUUAGAUGGAUAUCCAUGGUAAUUCUGUGGCUAAUACAUGCGAAAAAUUCCGACUCACGAAGGAAUGCAUUCAUUGUAUUUAGUAACCAACAUAAGAGUGAACACAGUGAAAUAGCGGAUCUCGUUUCGAGACAGACCGUUCAAGUUUCUGACCUAUCAGCUUUGGU